AUUGAACGCUGGCGGAAUGCUUUACACAUGCAAGUCGAACGGCAGCACGGACUUCGGUCUGGUGGCGAGUGGCGAACGGGUGAGUAAUAUAUCGGAACGUGCCCAGUCGUGGGGGAUAACGUAGCGAAAGCUACGCUAAUACCGCAUACGAUCUACGGAUGAAAGCGGGGGAUCGCAAGACCUCGCGCGAUUGGAGCGGCCGAUAUCAGAUUAGGUAGUUGGUGAGGUAAAGGCUCACCAAGCCGACGAUCUGUAGCUGGUCUGAGAGGACGACCAGCCACACUGGGACUGAGACACGGCCCAGACUCCUACGGGAGGCAGCAGUGGGGAAUUUUGGACAAUGGGGGGAACCCUGAUCCAGCCAUGCCGCGUGUGUGAAGAAGGCCUUAUGGUUGUAAAGCACUUUAAGCGAGGAGGAGGCUCUUUUGGUUAAUACCCAAGAUGAGUGGACGUUACUCGCAGAAUAAGCACCGGCUAACUCUGUGCCAGCCGCCGCCGUAA
RNAcentral lists this ribosomal RNA (501 nucleotides) under uncultured bacterium. Its description in RNAcentral is "partial 16S ribosomal RNA". It matches the Rfam family "Bacterial small subunit ribosomal RNA", at positions 30 to 523 of the family's 1533-position model. The record is from RNAcentral.